Molecule: ribosomal RNA, 253 nt
Filed under: uncultured bacterium
Lineage: Bacteria
Description: partial 16S ribosomal RNA
Rfam family: Bacterial small subunit ribosomal RNA
Source: RNAcentral
UACAGAGGUCCCAAGCGUUGUUCGGAUUCACUGGGCGUAAAGGGUGCGUAGGCGGUCGGGUAAGUCUGAUGUGAAAUCUCACAGCUUAACUGUGAAACUGCAUUGGAUACUAUCCGGCUCGAGGAAUGGAGGGGAGACUGGAAUACUUGGUGUAGCAGUGAAAUGCGUAGAUAUCAAGUGGAACACCAGUGGCGAAGGCGAGUCUCUGGACAUUUCCUGACGCUGAGACGCGAAAGCGUGGGGAGCGAACAGG